RNAcentral lists this ribosomal RNA (253 nucleotides) under uncultured bacterium. Its description in RNAcentral is "partial 16S ribosomal RNA". It matches the Rfam family "Bacterial small subunit ribosomal RNA", at positions 524 to 776 of the family's 1533-position model. The record is from RNAcentral.
UACAGAGGUCUCAAGCGUUGUUCGGAAUUACUGGGCGUAAAGGGCUCGUAGGCGGCCAACUAAGUCCGACGUGAAAUCCCAAGGCUUAACCUUGGAACUGCGUCGGAUACUGGAUGGCUUGAAUUCGGGAGAGGGAUGCAGAAUUCCAGGUGUAGCGGUGAAAUGCGUAGAUAUCUGGAGGAAUACCGGUGGCGAAGGCGGCAUCCUGGACCGACAUUGACGCUGAUGAGCGAAAGCUAGGGGAGCAAACGGG